GGAAGUUCCUGGGAUUUUCAUGGACUUUUGUGAACCUGGCGAUAAUUUUACACGACUCCUGCACCAUGAAUCGGAAAACUACUCACGAAAACCAAUCUAAUCUUCUCUGCGGACUGUUUGAAAAGCCUCUUGUCAUAGAAGUUCCUGGGUUUUUCAUGGACUUUCGUGAACCUGGUGAUAGUUUUGCACGACUCCUGCGCCAUGAAUCGAAGAACUACCCACGAAAAACCAGGCUAAUCUUCUCUGCGGACUGUUUGAAAAGCCUCUUGUCGUAGAAGUUCCUAGGUUUUUCAUGGACUUUCGUGAACCUGGUGAUAGUUUUGCACGACUCCUGUGCCAUGAAUCGAAGAACUACCCACGAAAAACCAGGCUAAUCUUCUCUGCGGACUGUUUGAAAAGCCUCUUGUCGUAGAAGUUCCUAGGUUUUUCAUGGACUUUCGUGAACCUGGUGAUAGUUUUGCACGACUCCUGCGCCAUGAAUCGAAGAACUACCCACGAAAAACCAGGCUAAUCUUCUCUGCGGACUUAGAAAAGCCUCUCGUCAUAGAAGUUCCUGGGAUUUUCAUGG
Long non-coding RNA from Eriocheir sinensis (Chinese mitten crab), 568 nucleotides. RefSeq lists it as uncharacterized. NCBI's taxonomy places the organism in Eukaryota, Metazoa, Arthropoda, Malacostraca, Decapoda, Varunidae. The transcript has 3 exons. The record is from RefSeq and is a predicted model, not a curated record.